Molecule: long non-coding RNA, 748 nt
Organism: Vicia villosa (hairy vetch)
Lineage: Eukaryota; Viridiplantae; Streptophyta; Magnoliopsida; Fabales; Fabaceae
Exons: 3
Source: RefSeq, a predicted model, not a curated record
UGGAUUAAAGCUCUUGAUUCCAGAAUUAAUAUUUAGAAUUGAAUUUGUAUUAACUUCUGCAAGAUUUGGACAUGUUAUGUUCCUGGAAAUUGUUUAUGAGCCAACCUUGAAGUGUGAUGCAGGGAAUGGAGAAUUUCCCACCUACUGCAGCAAAUAUAUUGUCUUCCAUAGCUAAAAUAGAUAGUUUUUUACUGCGAUAGAGUGCAAGUCAGUUGCAUCUGGACUGACCGCAAUGGACUUUAGGCGAGUAUGUUGUGGUGGAUUACCUAUCGUGAAAGUAUCGUUUGUGCGGUUUCAUUAAUUGGAGUAUGUCAUCAUCAUCUAAUAGAUUAUGGAAAAACUGAACAAAAAACCUCUCGCAAUGCGGCUGAAAGUGUGAAGAGUCCACGCAAGAGUGGUGCGCGGUUCCAGAGACCGUGCUAGUGGCUCCAAGAUUAAGGCGGUCCUCUGGAAGCACACGUUAGUGCUAAGCAUUUCAUUUAAAUUUGUUCUUAUUUAUUUCAAAUUCAGUAAUAUUGCAACAAGAGUUUGAUUUUCAUGAUUUUUUUGGUGAUAUGAAGUUAUUCGGAGCGGUCUGCGGAAUUUUUUAGUAGUUGAAGCUGAUACGUGGGGCCAUUUGUUAUCAUAGACUGCAGAGUAUCCAAACGUGGCUGUUUUCGGACCAAAUGUUACAAUUGAUUCCAGUAGAAGCUGCAAGUUGGUUUUGAAGGAUCGACCUUUAGUUUUUCUACUCUUUGUGAUGUGGCUG